UUUUUUUUUUUUUGGGUAAAUGUCACUGAGGUAUUACAUACAUAUAAGAAAAGUUCAUAAAGCACAGGUCCCAGGUUUCAUGAAUUUUCACAAACUGAACACAUCCAGGUCAUCAGCAUCCAGGUCCAGAAACAGAACACUAGCAGGACCCCUUCAAAGGUGGCCUUUAAAAAAUUCCAACCAAGGUGACUCUGUUCACUAAGCCAGUGUUCCCCAGGCUGUGACCAGCCUAAGAGGCACCUUUUCCAAGUCUGCACAAGAAUCUUCUAUGCGCUCGUGGUGUCUGCAGACAGGUGGGCACGCCCCUCGAGAACGUACCACCCACAGAGAGGGACAGGUAGGGACUGAGGUGACAACCACAGGAUGCAGGAUGGGGCAAGUGACACUGCAGAGAGGGAGGCCCUCCUAGGUCCACACCCCUCCUCUCUCCCUGACUCAGUCCCAUCUCCUCCCCACAUUAAUAUCACAUCCUCUCACUAUCGGAGCUGGGAGGGGACACCAGGAUGAGACGCUCACUGUCCAUGGGACAGGAAGAAGCAACCAGGGUCACUGUCUUGCGUUUGAAUGUUGCCAUUUGGCUGCUAGGCGAAUAGUGGAAGUGAGUACGUUUUAGUGCUUCAUGGAAAAGAUCACUAUCGAGGCAUCUGAGGCUUCCUCACCUGACUUCUCCAGAGCCUGAGGAAAAGAGCCUGAUCAGGCCCUCCCCUGGCACGUGUUAAUUCUUUUCAAAGCGGCACACAACUUCUGCCCAUCACCAGACUCACAUGCCACAAGGACUGGACCCCAGAGCGCCGUCCCUAGAGCAAAACUGAGAAUGCUCAAGGGAUACUAAAAUGCGGACUAGAUGAAUGCAAAGGCUAUAAAAAAAAAAAAAGAAAAAUAUGCUAUAACUGGGAGUGGUUAACGUCAUGGCCCAGUGGUUAACGAAUCUGACUAGGAACCAUGAGGUUGUGGGUUCGAUCCCUGGCCUUGCUCAUGGCAUAAUAUUUUACACUACGGAUCUACCAUAAUUUAUUGCAUCAUUUCCUAACUUGACACUUGGGUUGUUUUCCCUUAAGGGGGCUGAAGUUGUGUAAGGAAUUUAUCUCCCUGAACUUCUUCCCCAAAGAAGCAUUUGGAUUUACUCUUUUCUAUCAUGUCAGUAACUUUUUUUUUUUUUUGGUGUUUUUAAAAAUGGAAUAUACUUAAAUUUUAUUUAUUAAAGUCUAGUUGAUUUACGGUGUUGUGUCAAUUUCUGCUGUCCAGCAAAGCGAUCCAGUCAUACACAUAUAGACAUUCUUUUUCUUGCAUUAUUGCCCAUCAUGGUCUAUGCCAGGAGAUUGAAUAUAGUUCCCUGUGCCGCAUAGUAGGACCUCAUUGCUUAUCCAUUCUAAAUGCAGUAGUUUCCAUUCACUAACCCCAAACUCCCAGUCUACCCCCCUCCCUGCCUUAGCAACCAAAAGUCUGCUCUCCACAGGCAUUUGAAUUUAAUUGUGCCGCAGCCUUCUGACUCAGUGGCUUACCCGCAAAUGUGCCCUGAACUUUUUCCAGUUUAUUGGUCAGAACAGGCACAAAAUGUUCUUUUUCUUAGGGCACCUGACCUGUCCAAAAGCUGCCCAACCCAGUCUUCCCUUGAUGGGUACGUCCUGCCCCCAGACCUCUCCAUGCCAACGUUGGCGCUUGAGUCUUUGCUUCUUUAACCCCACGGGGCCUGGCCUCGGCUGCCCCUCCAGGCCUGCCCUUGACCUCCCUCGCCUGCACACAGAGGGCCUGGGCCUGGCCUUUGCACCUGC
RNAcentral lists this long non-coding RNA (1772 nucleotides) under Sus scrofa (pig). RNAcentral describes it as "lncRNA (ENSSSCG00060012145.1)". Lineage: Eukaryota; Metazoa; Chordata; Mammalia; Artiodactyla; Suidae. The record is from RNAcentral.